GAUUCGUCACACUAUCAUUAACUGAAUCCAUAGGUUAAUGAGGCGAACCGGGGGAACUGAAACAUCUAAGUACCCCGAGGAAAAGAAAUCAACCGAGAUUCCCCCAGUAGCGGCGAGCGAACGGGGAGGAGCCCAGAGCCUGAAUCAGCAUGUGUGUUAGUGGAAGCGUCUGGAAAGGCGCGCGAUACAGGGUGACAGCCCCGUACACAAAAGCGCAUGUGCUGUGAGCUCGAUGAGUAGGGCGGGACACGUGGUAUCCUGUCUGAAUAUGGGGGGACCAUCCUCCAAGGCUAAAUACUCCUGACUGACCGAUAGUGAACCAGUACCGUGAGGGAAAGGCGAAAAGAACCCCGGCGAGGGGAGUGAAAAAGAACCUGAAACCGUGUACGUACAAGCAGUGGGAGCACCCUUCGGGGUGUGACUGCGUACCUUUUGUAUAAUGGGUCAGCGACUUAUAUUCUGUAGCAAGGUUAACCGUAUAGGGGAGCCGGAGGGAAACCGAGUCUUAAUUGGGCGUUAAGUUGCAGGGUAUAGACCCGAAACCCGGUGAUCUAGCCAUGGGCAGGUUGAAGGUUGGGUAACACUAACUGGAGGACCGAACCGACUAAUGUUGAAAAAUUAGCGGAUGACCUGUGGCUGGGGGUGAAAGGCCAAUCAAACCGGGAGAUAGCUGGUUCUCCCCGAAAGCUAUUUAGGUAGCGCCUCGUGAAUUCAUCUCCGGGGGUAGAGCACUGUUUCGGCUAGGGGGCCAUCCCGGCUUACCAACCCGAUGCAAACUGCGAAUACCGGAGAAUGUUAUCACGGGAGACACACGGCGGGUGCUAACGUCCGUCGUGAAGAGGGAAACAACCCAGACCGCCAGCUAAGGUCCCAAAGUCAUGGUUAAGUGGGAAACGAUGUGGGAAGGCCCAGACAGCCAGGAUGUUGGCUUAGAAGCAGCCAUCAUUUAAAGAAAGCGUAAUAGCUCACUGGUCGAGUCGGCCUGCGCGGAAGAUGUAACGGGGCUAAACCAUGCACCGAAGCUGCGGCAGCGAACGUAUCACCCAAGACAACUUUACGGAGUUGACGAUUGACGGAGCGAAGCGACGUCAAAGCGUUCAUUAAAGUCGAGUUGGCUUAGGGAUACGUUCGUUGGGUAGGGGAGCGUUCUGUAAGCCUGUGAAGGUGUGUCGUGAGGCAUGCUGGAGGUAUCAGAAGUGCGAAUGCUGACAUAAGUAACGAUAAAGCGGGUGAAAAGCCCGCUCGCCGGAAGACCAAGGGUUCCUGUCCAACGUUAAUCGGGGCAGGGUGAGUCGACCCCUAAGGCGAGGCCGAAAGGCGUAGUCGAUGGGAAACGGGUUAAUAUUCCCGUACUUGGUGUUACUGCGAAGGGGGGACGGAGAAGGCUAUGUUGGCCGGGCGACGGUUGUCCCGGUUUAAGCGUGUAGGUGUGUGUUCCAGGUAAAUCCGGUUCACUUUAACACUGAGGCGUGACGACGAGGCACUACGGUGCUGAAGCAACAAAUGCCCUGCUUCCAGGAAAAGCCUCUAAGCAUCAGGUAACACGAAAUCGUACCCCAAACCGACACAGGUGGUCAGGUAGAGAAUACCAAGGCGCUUGAGAGAACUCGGGUGAAGGAACUAGGCAAAAUGGUGCCGUAACUUCGGGAGAAGGCACGCUGACACGUAGGUGAAGUGAUUUACUCAUGGAGCUGAAGUCAGUCGAAGAUACCAGCUGGCUGCAACUGUUUAUUAAAAACACAGCACUGUGCAAACACGAAAGUGGACGUAUACGGUGUGACGCCUGCCCGGUGCCGGAAGGUUAAUUGAUGGGGUCAGCGCAAGCGAAGCUCCUGAUCGAAGCCCCGGUAAACGGCGGCCGUAACUAUAACGGUCCUAAGGUAGCGAAAUUCCUUGUCGGGUAAGUUCCGACCUGCACGAAUGGCGUAAUGAUGGCCAGGCUGUCUCCACCCGAGACUCAGUGAAAUUGAACUCGCUGUGAAGAUGCAGUGUACCCGCGGCAAGACGGAAAGACCCCGUGAACCUUUACUAUAGCUUGACACUGAACAUUGAGCCUUGAUGUGUAGGAUAGGUGGGAGGCUUUGAAGUGUGGACGCCAGUCUGCAUGGAGCCGACCUUGAAAUACCACCCUUUAAUGUUUGAUGUUCUAACGUGGACCCGUAAUCCGGGUUGCGGACAGUGUCUGGUGGGUAGUUUGACUGGGGCGGUCUCCUCCUAAAGAGUAACGGAGGAGCACGAAGGUUGGCUAAUCCUGGUCGGACAUCAGGAGGUUAGUGCAAUGGCAUAAGCCAGCUUGACUGCGAGCGUGACGGCGCGAGCAGGUGCGAAAGCAGGUCAUAGUGAUCCGGUGGUUCUGAAUGGAAGGGCCAUCGCUCAACGGAUAAAAGGUACUCCGGGGAUAACAGGCUGAUACCGCCCAAGAGUUCAUAUCGACGGCGGUGUUUGGCACCUCGAUGUCGGCUCAUCACAUCCUGGGGCUGAAGUAGGUCCCAAGGGUAUGGCUGUUCGCCAUUUAAAGUGGUACGCGAGCUGGGUUUAGAACGUCGUGAGACAGUUCGGUCCCUAUCUGCCGUGGGCGCUGGAGAACUGAGGGGGGCUGCUCCUAGUACGAGAGGACCGGAGUGGACGCAUCACUGGUGUUCGGGUUGUCAUGCCAAUGGCACUGCCCGGUAGCUAAAUGCGGAAGAGAUAAGUGCUGAAAGCAUCUAAGCACGAAACUUGCCCCGAGAUGAGUUCUCCCUGAGACUUAGAGUCUCCUGAAGGAACGUUGAAGACGACGACGUUGAUAGGCCGGGUGUGUAAGCGCAGCGAUGCGUUGAGCUAACCGGUACUAAUGAACCGUGAGGCUUAACCUUACAAC
RNAcentral lists this ribosomal RNA (2860 nucleotides) under Salmonella enterica subsp. enterica serovar Typhimurium. Its description in RNAcentral is "partial 23S ribosomal RNA". It matches the Rfam family "Bacterial large subunit ribosomal RNA". Lineage: Bacteria; Pseudomonadati; Pseudomonadota; Gammaproteobacteria; Enterobacterales; Enterobacteriaceae. The record is from RNAcentral.